This 270-nucleotide ribosomal RNA is filed under the name uncultured archaeon. RNAcentral's name for it is "partial 16S ribosomal RNA". It matches the Rfam family "Archaeal small subunit ribosomal RNA", at positions 477 to 747 of the family's 1478-position model. The record is from RNAcentral.
CUGCAGCCCGAGUGGUGGUCGAUAUUAUUGAGCCUAAAGCGUCCGUAGCCGGACUAGUAAAUUCUUGGGUAAAUCGGGCAGCUUAACUGUCCGACUUCCGAGGAGACUGCUAGUCUUGGGACUGGGAGAGGUCAGAGGUACUCCAGGGGUAGGGGCUAAAUCCUGUAAUCCUUGGGGGACCACCAGUGGCGAAGGCGUCUGACUAGAACGGAUCCGACGGUAAGGGACGAAACCCUGGGGCGCAAACCGGAUUAGAUACCCGAGUAGUCC